Molecule: long non-coding RNA, 1056 nt
Organism: Clupea harengus (Atlantic herring)
Lineage: Eukaryota; Metazoa; Chordata; Actinopteri; Clupeiformes; Clupeidae
Source: Ensembl
GCCUCUGCGCCUUGCGCUGGAAAGUUGAGAUGUUAAGAGGUGUAAACGUAGCUGCUGUAGUCAUUGCCAAAACUAAUAUUUGUUUACGUACUUUAAACGUACCAAUCAGGACAGUUUGAAAAUUGCAGGACUAUGGCGUCGUUCAGUCGUUUCAUUUGCUAAAAAAGGCUUAGAUGGCCUUGUAAGGGAUUGUUAUUGUUCCCAGUACUUAGAUAUUUAAUUCUGUGCUUACUUUAACAGAAUGACAGUUCUGAUAUAAAGCCAAGUUACUGGACAGCCUACUAGCUGGAUAGCUUGCUAACUAGCUCGCUAGUUUAGUUUGUUACACCAUUUUCACACGCCACGACACACCCACUCAAAACAGCUGGCAUGCAUCAGUACCAUUAGUCCAAUUAUCAAAUCAAAUCAAAUCAAACUUUAUUUGUACGGCGCAUUUCAUACAAGGAAGUAACACAAUGCGCCUCACAGUAGGAAAGAAAAGGGGGGGGGGGGGGGGUUUACAAACACUUGUAAAAAAAAACAAAAAAAACACAGAUUUUCAAGAGAUAAAUGAAUAAAAUAAAAUAAACGUACUAACCGCACUGGCACCGUAAAGGACUACUCAGCACGGUCAUCGUCAAACUAAGCUGCUGGGGGGGGGGGGGGGGGGGGGGGGGUUUACAAACACUUGUAAAGAGACACAGAUAAGUAAAUAAAUAAAUAAAUGUUACAUUAAUGUUAAAUAAAUACAUUUUACAAGUUACAAAACACUUAUAAAAAGACACAGAUUUUGCCAGAGAUAAAUGAACAGGAAAUUACAGACAGAAAUAAGUAAAUAAAUAAAUGUUCCAUAAAUGUUAAAUACAUUUUACAGUGAGUGAUAAGCGAGAUCAAAGAGGUAUGUCUUAAGUGCAUGUUUAAAGGUUUCAACCGUUUCGGCCAUUCUUAGGUAUUCUGGCAGAGUGUUCCAAAGGUUGGGGGCAUAGAAACUAAAAGCUGCUUCCCCAUGUCUCUUUGUCCUGGCUUUUGGAACUGUUAGAAGUUCAGUGCCGGAGGACCUCAGGGAUCUACUGGGUG